Molecule: ribosomal RNA, 429 nt
Filed under: Paenarthrobacter nitroguajacolicus
Lineage: Bacteria; Bacillati; Actinomycetota; Actinomycetes; Micrococcales; Micrococcaceae
Description: partial 16S ribosomal RNA
Rfam family: Bacterial small subunit ribosomal RNA
Source: RNAcentral
GAUGAACGCUGGCGGCGUGCUUAACACAUGCAAGUCGANCGAUGAUNCCAGCUUGCUNGGGGAUUAGUGGCGAACGGGUGAGUAACACGUGAGUAACCUGCCCUUGACUCUGGGAUAACACCUGGGAAACUGGGUCUAAUACCGGAUACGUNCAUCUGGCGCAUGUCAUGGUGGUGGAAAGCUUUNGUGGUUUUGGAUGNACUCGCGNCCUAUCAGCUUGUUGGUGGGGUAAUNGCCUACCAAGGCGACGACGNGUAGCCGGCCUGAGAGGGUGACCGNCCACACUGGGUCUGAGACACGGACCAGACNUGCUACGGGAGNCAGCAGUGGGGAAUAUUGCACAAUGGGCGCAAGCCUGAUNCAGNGNCGCCGCNUGAGGGANGACCGNCUNCGGGUUGUAAACCUCUUUCAGUANGGNAGAAGCAAAGU